GAAACCGGAGCUAAUACCGGAUAAUAUUUUGAACCGCAUGAUUCAAAAGUGAAAGACGGUCUUGCUGUCACUUAUAGAUGGAUCCGCGCUGCAUUAGCUAGUUGGUAAGGUAACGGCUUACCAAGGCAACGAUGCAUAGCCGACCUGAGAGGGUGAUCGGCCACACUGGAACUGAGACACGGUCCAG
Molecule: ribosomal RNA, 187 nt
Filed under: uncultured Staphylococcus sp.
Lineage: Bacteria; Bacillati; Bacillota; Bacilli; Caryophanales; Staphylococcaceae
Description: partial 16S ribosomal RNA
Rfam family: Bacterial small subunit ribosomal RNA
Source: RNAcentral